UACGAAGGGGCUAGCGUUGCUCGGAAUCACUGGGCGUAAAGGGUGCGUAGGCGGGGUCUUUAAGUCAGGGGUGAAAUCCUGGAGCUCAACUCCAGAACUGCCUUUGAUACUGAGAUCUUGAGUUCGGAGAGGGUGAGUGGAACUGCGAAGUGUAGAGGGUGAAAAUUGUAGAUAUUCGCAAAGAACACCAGUGGCGAAGGGCGGGCUCACUGGCCCCCGAUACUGACGCUGAGG
RNAcentral lists this ribosomal RNA (234 nucleotides) under uncultured bacterium. RNAcentral describes it as "partial 16S ribosomal RNA". It matches the Rfam family "Bacterial small subunit ribosomal RNA", at positions 524 to 751 of the family's 1533-position model. The record is from RNAcentral.